UAUACUGGGCUCCCGUCGUAGUCAUGGUGAUCACACCCUCUACUCUCUCCGCAGCCACCGAAUCACCACCUCCGGCUUCUCGCUUUAGAAGGGAUGUAUCUGCAAUACAAGCACACACACAUUGUAAACAGCAUUCAACUGAAUAUCAAUAACGUCUUCUUGACUAAUCAGGGAGAGGGAAAAGCUUUCCGAGAAGGUAGACAUAAAAUCUGCAGCUUGAGUUGGAAACAAGUAGUGAUAGUUUGCUGGUGUUAAUGGGCAAGAAGAUGUUUGAUCAUUUUGGAUAGACAAUAUCAUCUAGCUGAUUCUAGUAAAUAUUUUUGGAGUUAGGUAUAUAAAAUGAAAAAAAGAUUUUGCCAUAAAUGAGUUCAAGAAAGUUUGGGUACAAGGGUGUUGCCUUGGUAACAACUAACACCUUUAUUAGAAUCAGAUGGUAAUACUCAGCACUAUGGUACAUACAACUCUCUACUUCAAAAGGAAGUGGAAAUUACUAUCUGUUUGUUGUUGACUGCGUUCAUCAUUUUUCUAAUAUACAUGGAUUCAUCAUUCAGAAAUCGUUCAAGGCUUGCUGUUAUGUGAUAUAUUUAUUAUGACAAUGUAGUAUACUACAUGUGAUACUGAAAUAGGCAGUUCCAUGUUAAAAGAAAGUAUGUUUUCACAUGUAUACUCUGAGAGCUACAAGCAAGGUAUCUUAUUACAUAACAAGACUAGGAUAAUUAGGUAAUUUAAUCUGUGAUUUCCCUUCUAGCAGUAACAAUGAGGAGGAUCAGAAUAGCAUGCGCCAGUAAUUGCCAACCAUUGAGAUAAAUGUUGGCGAUUCAGAAUACCAACAAAAAUUCUUUCCAAUAAUUUCAAAGGAUAUCGGAAGUCUUUUGAAUGUUGGAAGCUGCUUCUACACAAUAGCAGUAAAAAAAGGACACUAUAUUGCCGAAGCAUCAGUUUUUUUGCAGAUACGGAUCAUGGAGCAGGAUUAACAGCUGAUAUGGGUCUAGUCACAUACUACAAAAUUAUGAUAAUUCAUCUCCUUCACAUGAAUUCAAAUUUCUUAGAAUAAACAUAAAAUUCAGAGUAUAAUUUUUUGUUGUUGGUUCGUCUAAAACAUAUUUUGCCAACACCCAUAACAUUAGGUUUGUCAGAUAUCAAAUGUUUGUGGCUAAUCCUAGGUCAAAGUAAUGUAUCAUAAAUUGAUGCAGUGACAGUGGGACGUUUAACUUAUUUUGUACAUAAAGUAUAACAAGGAGAAAUUUCCUCUGAAAAUUUAUUAGGUAAUUCAUAUAACAAAGAAUCGAUUGUUCAUUAAUGGAAUUACCACAAGCGAAUGGUUUCUAAAUCAACAAGACCAUGAUAUUAAGACAGUAUUUCAGCAUAAAAUAAUCCAUUUUAUAGGGAUUCCAAUUUUGCCAUGUAUAAAGUGAGGUAGCUUGCAGUACACGACUGU
Molecule: long non-coding RNA, 1438 nt
Organism: Athalia rosae (coleseed sawfly)
Lineage: Eukaryota; Metazoa; Arthropoda; Insecta; Hymenoptera; Athaliidae
Exons: 3
Source: RefSeq, a predicted model, not a curated record